RNAcentral lists this ribosomal RNA (564 nucleotides) under Hypomyces laeticolor. RNAcentral's name for it is "LSU rRNA". It matches the Rfam family "Eukaryotic large subunit ribosomal RNA", at positions 62 to 648 of the family's 3401-position model. Lineage: Eukaryota; Fungi; Ascomycota; Sordariomycetes; Hypocreales; Hypocreaceae. The record is from RNAcentral.
AAACCAACAGGGAUUGCCCCAGUAACGGCGAGUGAAGCGGCAACAGCUCAAAUUUGAAAUCUGGCCCUCGCGGGCCCGAGUUGUAAUUUGUAGAGGACGCUUUUGGUGAGGCACCGCCCGAGUUCCCUGGAACGGGACGCCACAGAGGGUGAGAGCCCCGUCUGGCUGGAUGCCGAGCCUCUGUAAAGCUCCUUCGACGAGUCGAGUAGUUUGGGAAUGCUGCUCAAAAUGGGAGGUAUAUGUCUUCUAAAGCUAAAUACCGGCCAGAGACCGAUAGCGCACAAGUAGAGUGAUCGAAAGAUGAAAAGCACUUUGAAAAGAGGGUUAAACAGUACGUGAAAUUGUUGAAAGGGAAGCGCUCGUGACCAGACUUGGGCCUGGCGGAUCAUCCGGCGUUCUCGCCGGUGCACUUCGCCUCGCCCAGGCCAGCAUCAGUUCGCCUCGGGGGACAAAGGCCUCGGGAACGUGGCUCCUCCGGGAGUGUUAUAGCCCGUGGCGCAAUACCCUGGGGCGGACUGAGGUUCGCGCAUCUGCAAGGAUGCUGGCGUAAUGGUCACCAGCGAC